This 217-nucleotide unclassified non-coding RNA is filed under the name uncultured fungus. RNAcentral describes it as "partial contains 5.8S rRNA and ITS2". The record is from RNAcentral. Lineage: Eukaryota; Fungi.
AACGCAACUUGCGCCGGAUUACCGGCAUGCCUGUUUCAGUGUGCUUGGAGAGUAAACUAUCAUUAUAAAAUAUCAUGCGAUUGAGGUACAUUUAUGUUCUUCUUUCGUUGAAUAUGAAAGUGCUAAAGAUUAUUGCUUAACUCUAAAUCACAUCUAAGCUAUUAAAUAACUCCAAAUUUGGCAUCUGAAAUCAGACAAGGAUACCCGCUGAGCUUAA